AGUUUUCCUCUUCUCCUGUGUUAGAAAGCGUGAAGAAUAUAUGUUGGAAUGAGGGAGCCCACACAAGAUAGAGCUACCUGGAUUGUCACAUCACCUUGUGGUCAUCUGUACUAACAGCAGGUCCUGCAGAUGGAGUCUCCCUCUGUCACACAGGCUGGAGUGCAGUGGUGUGAUCAUAGCUCACUGCAGCCUCCAACUCCUCACCUCAAGCAAUUCUCCUCACUCAGACUCCUGAGUAGCUAGGAUUACAGGCCCAUGCCACCACCUCCAGAUAAUUUUAAACUUUUUUAUUUUACAAAUAGGAUUUUGCUAUGUUGUUCAGGCUGGUCUUGAACUCCUGGACUCAGAUGUUUGGCACGGCAUCUCAACUUGAUGUCUAUUUCUUCUUGUUCUCCUUCACCUCACAUGAACCUUCCAAGUCAUAAUUCUUUGGAAAUAGACACAAGGAGCUUUAUUUCAAAUUACCAUCCUUUACUUAAGAGGUUCCAUCUCUAAGCAUAUCAGCAAUCAUGGUGACGUGCCACUCUGCUGGUAAUUCAUAUGGCUUAUUCAGAAGCACAGAUCAUGGCUGUUAGACCUGCCAGAUGUUCCCGGUCCCUAGCUGCAAUUAAGUUCCAACAUAGCCCAAUUUGAAAGAGAUUGAGAAACCACAGUUCUCAUUAAGAAUAUUCAUGAGUUUGCACCUUGAAAAGCCAGCAAUCACAUGAUAUGCCAGAACGGACAAGAUCGUUUGAGAAGAGGAAAAAAAAAAAGAUGCAAUUUAAAAUAAGUUACCAGAGAAGAUCAUUUUACCUCGGUCUGGCCAGUUGAAACACUGUGUUUGCCAUUACACAGUGGGUGUUUUUGGGAUGUGACUGAAGUCAGCCUGAGUCCAAUGAAAAUUCUGAACUUCUUCUGGAAUUAUGGUGAAGGACAAACUCUUUUUGGGUUGUAAACCUGGCAAUGUGAGUAAGAAUCUUACUGUAGUGGGAGAAUGUGCCUGAGGAUGCAGCCAACACAAUAAAAAGCAGAGUCCGGUAGAUGAAGAGUAAUAGUGUUCUGAUGAUGUCACUUAAAGCACCAAGAUCCAGCCAUGCCUGAAGUUGAUAUACCCUUUUCAGUUAUUAAAAAAGUCAACAAAACCCCUUUUUAAAAGUAAGCUAGUUUAAACUGGAUUUCUUUCACUUAUGUCCAAAAGAGUUCUAAUUCAUACAAAGCCCUCAUUUUAUAGGCUUAGGAAACUGACACCAAGGACGAUGGC
This 1240-nucleotide long non-coding RNA is filed under the name Homo sapiens (human). RNAcentral's name for it is "HSALNT0308460". Lineage: Eukaryota; Metazoa; Chordata; Mammalia; Primates; Hominidae. The record is from RNAcentral.